RNAcentral lists this ribosomal RNA (407 nucleotides) under uncultured Nocardia sp. RNAcentral describes it as "bacterial SSU rRNA". It matches the Rfam family "Bacterial small subunit ribosomal RNA", at positions 355 to 774 of the family's 1533-position model. The record is from RNAcentral. Lineage: Bacteria; Bacillati; Actinomycetota; Actinomycetes; Mycobacteriales; Nocardiaceae.
UGGGGAAUAUUGCACAAUGGGCGAAAGCCUGAUGCAGCGACGCCGCGUGAGGGAUGACGGCCUUCGGGUUGUAAACCUCUUUCGACAGGGACGAAGCGCGAGUGACGGUACCUGUAGAAGAAGCACCGGCCAACUACGUGCCAGCAGCCGCGGUAAUACGUAGGGUGCGAGCGUUGUCCGGAAUUACUGGGCGUAAAGAGCUUGUAGGCGGUUCGUCGCGUCGAUUGUGAAAACUUGCAGCUCAACUGCAAGCUUGCAGUCGAUACGGGCGGACUAGAGUACUUCAGGGGAGACUGGAAUUCCUGGUGUAGCGGUGAAAUGCGCAGAUAUCAGGAGGAACACCGGUGGCGAAGGCGGGUCUCUGGGAAGUAACUGACGCUGAGAAGCGAAAGCGUGGGUAGCGAACA